Molecule: long non-coding RNA, 1195 nt
Organism: Jaculus jaculus (lesser Egyptian jerboa)
Lineage: Eukaryota; Metazoa; Chordata; Mammalia; Rodentia; Dipodidae
Exons: 4
Source: RefSeq, a predicted model, not a curated record
CUCCUCACCAUGGUGAUUAUAGUUCACGUGCUCGGAGCCAAACUUGCCCACCGCUGGAGAGCUUUCAAUCUUGAAGGCUGCUUUCUCUCCUAUGUGCCUUAGGGACAAACCCAGAAGGAAGCUACUAAAUUUGCUUCAUCUGUCGGAUCCUCUCGCUACAUACGAGCAAGAAAGGCAAGCGUGAAGGCUCUGUUCUCCGGUUUCAAUACUCCUUCCAUGCAAUUGAAUAUUCGAAUUAACUUCAGCAGCGUGCGCUGAAGGAAGAUCUCAGGACUCCUCCACUGGAUGCCUAUAGAUUUGGCUUUAUGGAACAUGAAACAGGUAACAGGAAAGAGCCAGAGUGAGACAGUCCCUGAGGAAGACAAUGUAAUACCACCAAAUGGAGAAGUGAAAUAAACUGUACCUACUCUGAUGAAGUAUGCCAGGCUAGUAAUUAAAAGCAGGGGAGGAAUAACCUAAUUCCUUUCCCCAUCAAAUAUUCCUUUGGAACUGCUCACUCUGUAAUGGAUGUCUUCUUUCUUUGGGGGUGGGGGCAGAGCAGUGAGACCAAGGCCUGAAGAUAGAGAAAUUUACUACUACAUAUAGCAGAAAAUUACCUUUGCUGUGACAUCUGAUUUUACUAUUUUACUCACUAUUUCAUUAACAGUGCACAAUAUAAGAGUGAUCAAGUUUAUUAAAUUUAUUAGGAGGAAAAAUUAUAAUGAUGGGGAAUUUGUUUCCACUCUGAGACCACUGGUUGUCCUCAGUCUUCAGAAGGUACUCACACAGACUGAAGGGUUGAAAGCAGGGCUUUAUGCUCUGCAGGGAAGGACCCCUGGCUUACGUGGGCAGGCUCUCAAAUCCAAUUUGCACCCAAAUUGGCCAGUAGGAUUUACAAAGCCUCAUCCACGGACUUUCAACUUGCACAAUACUCUAUCCAGGAACCCUCCUCCCCCUCCAUUUCAGCUCCCAGCAGUUCUAAAAAGAAGUCAUUGCUGAUACAAAUAUAAGUCGAUGAGUAAACAGUGCAUAUUUUAUUAAACAAGCCUGAUCUAUAUGUGCAUCCUGGUAUACAUUCGAAUCUCACAACAUAGAGCAAUUAAAAUUAUUUAAAGGAAUUCAAACUUGCUUUCUUGAAAACUGCAUAUAACAAUUGCAUUUGUGAGGCUGAAGUUUAAGUAUUAACCCAUUUCUAUUAUCAUAAAAUGUAUUUUGA